Molecule: ribosomal RNA, 429 nt
Filed under: Acidobacteriota bacterium
Lineage: Bacteria; Pseudomonadati; Acidobacteriota
Description: Acidobacteria bacterium partial 16S ribosomal RNA
Rfam family: Bacterial small subunit ribosomal RNA
Source: RNAcentral
UGGGGAAUUUUGGACAAUGGGGGAAACCCUGAUCCAGCCAUCCCGCGUGUGCGAUGAAGGCCUUCGGGUUGUAAAGCACUUUUGGCAGGAAAGAAACGUCAUGGGUUAAUACCCCGUGAAACUGACGGUACCUGCAGAAUAAGCACCGGCUAACUACGUGCCAGCAGCCGCGGUAAUACGAAGGGUGCAAGCGUUAAUCGGAAUUACUGGGCGUAAAGCGUGCGCAGGCGGUUCGGAAAGAAAGAUGUGAAAUCCCAGAGCUCAACUUUGGAACUGAAUUUUUAACUACCGGGCUUGAGUGUGUCAGAGGGGGGUGGAAUUCCGCGUGUAGCAGUGAAAUGCGUAGAUAUGCGGAGGAACACCAAUGGCGAAGGCAGCCUCCUGGGAUAACACUGACGCUCAUGCACGAAAGCGUGGGGAGCAAACAGG